UCUCUCGAAGAGGAGGCGGGACUUCCGCAGAAAGCGUCCUUUGGCUUAUCCGUGACGGCAACCGCGUGGAGGCACCCCAAAGGCUGGAACUGAGAGGGAGGGGUCUGCGGACGGUCGGCUGCCGGGCUGGGAAUUGAGCGGGGGGCCUAAAGGUUCUUACAUCGGGGCUGGAAGGAGCCCACGAGUUUCCUAGGGGGCUGUGGGGAUUGCCCCGGGCCUGUCCGAGAAGAUGCCGUACCUCGGCUCCGAGGACGUGGUCAAGGAGCUGAAGAAGGCUCUGUGCAACCCUCACAUUCAGGCUGAUAGGCUGCGCUACCGGAAUGUCAUCCAGCGAGUGAUUAGGCACAUGACUCAGGGCUUGGACGUGUCUGGUGUUUUCAUGGAAAUGGUGAAGGCGAGUGCCACUGUAGAUAUCGUUCAGAAGAAGUUGGUUUAUCUGUACAUGUGCACGUAUGCCCCCCUGAAACCAGAUCUGGCUCUCCUGGCCAUCAAUACACUCUGCAAAGACUGUUCGGACCCCAACCCAAUGGUGCGAGGGCUGGCACUACGGAGUAUGUGUAGUCUCAGGAUGCCGGGUGUGCAGGAAUAUAUCCAACAGCCUGUUCUCAAUGGUCUGCGGGAUAAGGCUUCAUACGUCAGGAGGGUGGCAGUCCUUGGUUGUGCCAAGAUGCAUAAUCUUCACGGAGAAUCUGAAGUGGAUGGUGCCUUGGUAAAUGAAUUAUAUAGUUUGCUGCGUGACCAGGACCCUAUCGUUGUGGUCAACUGCCUGAGGUCUCUAGAGGAAAUUCUGAAACAGGAAGGCGGCGUUGUCAUCAAUAAACCUAUUGCCCACCAUCUCUUAAAUCGAAUGUCAAAACUGGACCAGUGGGGCCAGGCCGAAGUAUUGAACUUCCUGCUACGCUACCAGCCGCGCAGUGAGGAGGAGCUGUUUGACAUCCUCAACCUGUUGGACAGCUUUCUCAAGAGCAGUAGCCCAGGGGUGGUGAUGGGAGCCACCAAACUCUUUCUGAUCUUGGCCAAACAGUUUCCCCACGUACAAACCGAUGUGCUCGUGCGCGUCAAGGGCCCUCUGCUGGCCGCCUGUUCUUCAGAGAGCCGCGAGCUCUGUUUCGCUGCCCUCUGCCACGUGCGCCAGAUCCUGCGUAGUUUGCCCGGCCACUUUAGCAGCCACUACAAGAAGUUUUUUUGCUCCUACUCGGAGCCACACUACAUCAAGCUGCAGAAGGUGGAGGUGCUGUGUGAGCUGGUGAACGACGAGAACGUGCAGCAGGUACUCGAGGAGCUCCGAGGGUACUGCACCGAUGUGUCUGCCGACUUGGCGCAGGCGGCCAUCUUUGCCAUAGGUGGCAUUGCCAGGACCUACACAGAUCAGUGCGUGCAGAUUCUGACAGAGUUGCUGGGGCUACGGCAAGAGCACAUCACCACAGUGGUGGUGCAGACUUUCCGAGAUCUGGUUUGGUUGUGUCCUCAGUGUACAGAAGCUGUGUGUCAGGCCCUGCCCGGCUGUGAGGAGAUCAUUCAAGAUGGCGAGGGGAAGCAGGCACUUAUUUGGCUACUUGGUGUCCACGGGGAAAGAAUUCCCAAUGCGCCUUAUGUGUUCGAAGACUUCGUCGACAACGUGAAGUCAGAGACAUUCCCAGCUGUUAAGAUGGAGCUCCUCACUGCACUGCUGCGCCUUUUCCUCUCGCGACCGGCUGAGUGCCAGGACAUGCUGGGACGGCUGUUACAUUACAGCAUAGAGGAAGAAAAGGACAUGGCAGUACGGGACCGAGGUCUCUUCUAUUACCGCCUCCUCUUAGCUGGCGUUGAGGAAGUUAAGCGGAUCCUGUGCAGCCCUAAAUCUGACCCUUCUCUUAGACUUUUGGAGGAUCAGGCAGAAAAGCCUGUGAAUAGCUGGGCCUCAGACUUCAACACACUGGUGCCAGUAUACGGCAAAGCCCGCUGGGCAACCAUCUGUGCGUGCCAGGGGACAGAGCGUCGUGGCCCAGACCUUUCUAACACUGCAUCCUUCGCCACAUCAGGACCCCUGAUUCCUGAAGAGAACAAGGAGAGGGCACAAGAACUCCCUGACUCAGGAGCCCUCACGCUGGUCCCCAAUCACCAGCUCACUGCUGAGUAUUUCGAGAAAACUUGGCUUAGCCUCAAAGUGGCCCAUCAGCAAGUGGUCCCUUGGCAGGGAGCAGUCCAUCCCGACACCCUCCAGAUGGCUCUGCAGGUAGUGAACAUCCAGACCAUCGCAGUGAGCAAGGCGGGGGCUCAGCCUUGGAAAGCCUACCUCAGUGCCCAGGAGGACACUGGCUGUCUAUUUUUAACAGAGCUGCUGUUGGAGCCCGAGAGCUUGGAAAUGCAGAUCUCUGUGAAACAAAGUGAGGCGAGGCCGGAGACCCUGAGCAGUUUUAUUUCUGUAUUAGAAACUGUGAUUGGAACAAUCGGAGACAUAAAAUCCUAACAGUCUUGAUGCCUAUCCUGAGAGAUGAGUAGCUCUCAGUUCCUUAGUUUUCCUCAUUGGAGCUGCUUGUAAGUCCAGAUACUAUCACAUGCACAGGAGAAUGGGAAACCUGGGAAUCACGAAUCUCAUGUUUUUGUCCAAAGACCAUUGACUCACUCCUCGCAUACCUAUUGGUGAAUGACCCCAUUUUUCCAGGUGAUGUUGUAAAAGUUCAUGUCGGUGAGGGGACGGGAAUGGGGGUGAGGCUAGGAUUGGGAUUCUUUUCUAAUCAGUUUUAGGGCAUUUGACUGAUUAAAGAUGCCUGAUGUGUGUGGAAACUGAUGGAGUCUGUGGGGGUCGUCUUUUCUUCCCUGGAUUGUUGCAGUAAACUCCUGACUGUUCUCAUAUUUCUAAUCCUGCUUCUUAGGCCAAAGUUCAGAGUCUUCAGUGUCAUGUGGCACCACUCCCCCAAACACCCUCUGUUCUGACAAAAGCAAACCACUUGCAUUUUCCUGAAUGUACCAGCUCUGUCUAACCUCUGUGCUUUGGCACCUGCUUUCAUUUCUUGCUGAAAACAUUGCCUCACCUUCAAAUCUCCUUUAUUUAAGUCAGCGUUCAGCUCAGUCAUGAGCUCUUCCAGGACAUUUUCUGUGAGCCUCACUGCCUUCGGAAGGAUCUCCUUCAAGCUGUGAAAGCAGUCAGUGCAUGUGUCUAGCAGUACUAUUGUAAUUCCUUUCUUGUCACUCGGCCUCAAUCUUCACUUGAUUCAUACCUGACCACAUUUUAUAAUUGAAACAAUUUAUGGCAAGAACAGAUUUAAUAAAAUUGUGGUAAAGUAUAAAUAACUAGAGAAUCCAGAACAUGGAAGAUGACAAUACCAGUGAAGACCAGCUGGAUUAGGGAUGGGGAAAUACACAAAUGUUCAGGCUUAAGGGCCUACACAGUUGAUAUAGCUGAGCCUCGGAUUUAGCUCUGUAAGUGAUUUGGCAGUCAGAGUGAAGAGAAAUAAUUAUAUAGUUGUCAUCGGAGAGGAAGAAACAUUCCAAACCUAACUUCUAAAAGAAAUUCACAUGUAGCUUCACCUAGGUGGCACUGACUGAUGUGUACACAAUUUCCAUGGGAAGUUACUUUCAUGUGACUGUUUCUUACGGUGUUCUUCAGUGAACACAGCACAUGACUUUGAACAUGGAGCUUAGUGAGAGGAUUUCUUCAAGGAGUUAGGAUAACAUGCUCCAAAUAUCACACAGCUUAACUCAAGGACUUCUGUUACCUAGAUACGGAGGUGGACCGCAUAUCCUUCAAGUAAUUUUUCCCCCAUCACUUCUCACAAUGAGGCUCUCAUUAGGAAUAUGUAACAGACAGCAUUGAAUUUUCUGUUCACCAGGUCGGAAUACUCUGGAAGGGCUGAUAGGUUUGAAUGCUGCUUCUGAGACCCAAGCCCAAAAUAUAGGUGUAGCUACCUUACGAAGGCAGCCUCUGUGG
RNA transcript from Rhinolophus ferrumequinum (greater horseshoe bat), 3910 nucleotides. It is a transcript of the gene named adaptor related protein complex 4 subunit beta 1, with no coding region annotated. The record is from RefSeq and is a predicted model, not a curated record. The transcript has 12 exons. Lineage: Eukaryota; Metazoa; Chordata; Mammalia; Chiroptera; Rhinolophidae.